This 913-nucleotide ribosomal RNA is filed under the name uncultured organism. RNAcentral's name for it is "bacterial SSU rRNA". It matches the Rfam family "Bacterial small subunit ribosomal RNA", at positions 497 to 1410 of the family's 1533-position model. The record is from RNAcentral.
CUAACUGCGUGCCAGAAGCGUCGGUAAGACGUGGGCCUCAAGCGUUAUCCGGUGUUACUGGGCGUAAAGAGUCGUGUAGGCGGUUUGGUCAGUCACUUUUUAAAUCCCAAUGCUCAACAUUGGAACCGGAGGUGAUACUACCAGACUAGAAUUAUCUAUAGGGUGAAUGGAACUGUGGGAGGAGUAGUGAAAUGCGUUGAUCCCCACGGGAACACCAGUGGCGAAGGCGGUUCACUGAUAGAUAAUUGACGCUGAGACACGAAAGCUAGGGGAGCGAAGCAGAUUAGAGACCUGCGUAGUCCUAGCCGUAAACGCAUGCUAGCUAGCUGCAUUUCCACCCCUUCGGGGGUCAGGUGUGGCGAAGGUAACCCGUUAAGCUAGCCGCCUGGGGAGUACGGCCGCAAGGCUAAAACUCAAAGGAAUUGGCGGGGAGGCACACAACCAGUGGAACAUGUGGUUUAAUUCGAAACAAACCGAAGAACCUCACCAGGGUUUGACAUGUAGCUGCACGUCCUAUGAAAGUAGGAUUCCUUCGAGGGUGCUACACAGGUGCUGCAUGGCUGUCGUCAGUUCGUUCCGUGAGGAGUGCCCUUAAGUGGGACAACGAACGCAACCCCUAUCGUAUGUUAUAUGUGUCAUACGAAACUGCCUUGCCGUUGGCGAGGAGGAAGGAGGGGCAGACGUCAAGUCCGCAUGGUCCUUAUGCCCUGGGCUACACACAUGUUACAAUGAGUAGGAACAAUGAGUUUCGCAAACUUGCGAAAGUAAGCAAAUCUCAGAAAUCUAUUCUCAGUGGGGAUUGUAGUCUGCAACUCGACUACAUGAACGCGGAAUUGGUAGUAAUCGCGGAUCAGCUAUGCCGCGGUGAAUACGUUCUUGCCUCUUGCACACACCGCCCGUCAAGCCAACAAAG